GUCGAGCGAGGUAGCAAUACCUAGCGGCGGACGGGNGAGUAACGCGUGGGAACGUGCCCUUUGCUUCGGAAUAGCCCUGGGAAACUGGGAGUAAUACCGAAUGUGCCCUACGGGGGAAAGAUUUAUCGGCAAAGGAUCGGCCCGCGUUGGAUUAGGUAGUUGGUGGNGUAAUGGCCUACCAAGCCGACGAUCCAUAGCUGGUUUGAGAGGAUGAUCAGCCACACUGGGACUGAGACACGGCCCAGACUCCUACGGGAGGCAGCAGUGGGGAAUCUUAGACAAUGGGCGCAAGCCUGAUCUAGCCAUGCCGCGUGAGCGAUUGAAGGCCUUAGGGUUGUAAAGCUCUUUCGUGGGGGAAGAUAAUGACGGUACCCCAAGAAGAAGCCCCGGCUAACUCCGUGCCAGCAGCCGCGGUAAUACGNAGGGGGCUAGCGUUG
Molecule: ribosomal RNA, 437 nt
Filed under: uncultured bacterium
Lineage: Bacteria
Description: bacterial SSU rRNA
Rfam family: Bacterial small subunit ribosomal RNA
Source: RNAcentral